This 783-nucleotide long non-coding RNA is filed under the name Felis catus (domestic cat). Its description in RNAcentral is "lncRNA (ENSFCAG00000052363.1)". The record is from RNAcentral. Lineage: Eukaryota; Metazoa; Chordata; Mammalia; Carnivora; Felidae.
AUCUCAUUGUGGUUUUGAUUUGCAUUUGCCUGAUGAUUAGUGAUAUCAAGCACCAUUUCAUACACCUGUUGGCCAUUUGGAUGUCUUUGGAAAAAUAUCUACUCAGGUACUUUGCCCAUUUAAAAAAAUUGGUUAUUGGGUUUUUUUGUCUUUUUUUUUCUGCCCCACUGAACUCUUUGCAAAGCCUGGAUAUCUGUGCUCUUCCUAGACCACCUAGAAUAUCUAUGACCAUCGUCUCCACAGGGAAACUCUUACAUUAACUCCAUCAAGACCUGACUCAAAUGUCACUUCCUCUGAGGAGUCCUCCCUGAUUCCUCUGCUAGAGUUGUCACUCCCUCCUCCUUUUACCCACUGCAGAUGCAGCCUGUGCAUGGCAGUCUCAACUCUCUCACAUGUCACCCUUGCCCUUUGAUGUGGCUCACUUGCUCAUAAGACAGAGUUUCAUGAGUGCUCUGGGCCCAACUCACAGUUGGUGUGCAUAGAUCAUUGGUGGAUAUAUGGAUGGAUGGAUGGAAGGAAGGAUGGAUGGAUGGAAGGAAGGAUGGAUGGAUGGAAGGAUGGAUGGAUGGAAGGAUGGAUGGAAGGAUGGAUGAUGGAUGGAUGGAUGGAAGGAAGGAAGGAAGGAAGGAUGGAAGGAUGGAGGGAUGGAUGGAUGGAUAGAAGGAAGGAAGGAAAGACUGAAGGAUGGAUGGAUGGAUGGAAGGAUGGGUGGAUGGAUGCAAGGAAGGAAGGACGGAUGGAUGGAUGGAGGGAUGCAUGGAUGGAUGGAAAGGUGGAAGUGUG